RNAcentral lists this unclassified non-coding RNA (279 nucleotides) under uncultured fungus. RNAcentral describes it as "partial contains small subunit ribosomal RNA, internal transcribed spacer 1, and 5.8S ribosomal RNA". The stretch from base 1 to 73 matches the Rfam family "Eukaryotic small subunit ribosomal RNA", at positions 1759 to 1831 of the family's 1831-position model. The record is from RNAcentral. Lineage: Eukaryota; Fungi.
GCAAACUUGGUCAUUUAGAGGAAGUAAAAGUCGUAACAAGGUUUCCGUAGGUGAACCUGCGGAAGGAUCAUUAAAAAUGGCUUGUGUCCUUUAUCCACCUUGUGUGCAACCUAAGAAAUAGCCUACCUUGGAAAGAUUAUUUCUUUAAUCUUUCCAAAGAGGUCAUCAUCGUCAAUUAUUUUUUUCUUUUCUAUUUAUUGUCUAAUAAUAUGUAAAUUGAAAUAAAAAACAACUUUCAACAACGGAUCUCUUGGCUCUCGCAUCGAUGAAGAACGCAGC